GAAAAAUCCUAUUUGUUGUGUGUCUCUGGAUUUUGUUGACCUCUUUUUCCUUGGGUAGUUUGUUUUUCCUGUCUAAAUUAACAAGCAGGGUUUGCCCAAGCAAACACCCUUAGCGGAAAGCUUUAUUGCCUCCACGGGGCGGUCACGAGUUCGGCCAACUCUCCCCGGGACCAGGAGCAGCGCCUGCACUGUGCGCUGGGAUUAAACUUGAGCGACACCCACUCACCCACCCUCCCCGCCUCCACAGGUGCGUCCCUGCGACAGCGCUGCUGCUGGAACGGCGGCACCUGUGUACUGGGCAGCUUCUGCGUGUGCCCAGCCCACUUCACCGGCCGCUACUGCGAGCACGACCAGAGACGCAGGUGGGCGCUGGGGACCGGGGGACGCGACCCAAGGAAGGGGCAGGAGGGGGCGCUGCGGGCAGGGUGCGUGGACCUAGGCAUUGAUGCCUGGUGUCCGCCUCCUCAGCGAUUGCGGCGUCCUGGUGCAUGGAGCCUGGACCUUCAGUGGUUGCCGCCUGUGCAGGUGCGUCUUUGGGGCCCUACAUUGUCUUCCCCGCCAGACGUUCGGCCGCUGUGGUAAGAGGACCCGAGACUUCUGCUCUUGACACACUUGUGCGUUUGCGCCUUUUUUGUGGUUCAUCCUGAGUACGGACUCAAACAACAGCUUCCUGUGCCAAGCGACCCAGAAAUAAGAAACUAAAUUCAUUCCUGAAGAAAACCACACUCAAUAGUUCACACCCAGUGAACUAUUAUUAUUUACUAUUUUGUUUAAGGUUUCUCAUGUCCGGAUUGCUGGGUUUAACAUGUGCGUUCUUUACUGUGCGCGCAGCUUCCAGCGAUGACAAGCUGGUAAGCAGUGUUGAACCUGGGAGUCAGGGUAGCUGAAUAAAUCUCUGAAAAUGUCCCUACACUGGCCAAUACCAUCUCUUCCCGCCAGAGGGCACUGGAACCAGAAGGGAUCAGGCCUGGGUUCUGGAGGCUUGGGCAGUCGCACCCUUUCUCUUGUCAGGCUGCAAAAGCUAAUUGAGGUGGCACCACGUUUCAAUCCAAUAGCCCGGGCCCUGUCUCUUUUCAAUACUGCUUUUCAACAGGUGCUAACUGGGAUGAGCAGUGGUAAGCACAGUCAGUGAAGACACCGCCCUUCAACCCAAGUCAUGGGCCUCUGUUUGUGUCAUCCUGGGUAGUUUGUGCAGUGUGUCCAGAGGGGAGACUAAGGCCAAAGCCUCUUUCCUGCCCUUCCCUCCACCUCAGUCAACUACUGGGCUCUUCCAGCAGUGGAGCGACACAGUUAAUAUUUGCACUGCCCCUCAAUUCCACUUCUCUCCCCCUCAAACAAGACAGCCAGGACAACCAGGAGGGAAAGCCCUUCAUCCCUAUUUACUGUCUUCUCCUCAUUCUGACCUUGGUGGGUCCUUAAUGGAGAAGCACACUCAGUGAAUGCUCAAUUUCUGACCCACCUUCUCACGCCUCUCUUUUCUUCUGAGUGGGACCAGGAGUCAAGGGAGUCUAGGCACAGCUCUCAUUCCCUCCUGGCCCAUCACUCACUCCCUUCUCCUCAGCUAGUUUUGCACCUGCAAGUGGAGAGGAAAUUCUAGCACCUUAUUCAUCUCUCCCUCCCUUUCAUGCAAGCUACAUUUCCCCAAAGUCCUCUCUCUCCUAUGGUCUGUCCCAUUUGCUGGGGCCAUGCCUCUGAUUCACCAACUGCUCCUACUAUCAGAGAGUGAAGGACAUAGAUUUUAGGGACAGGCAUCAGAAUUACACAGGGUCCCUCACAGAUGAAGUCAGAUUCCACCUGCAAGAGCUUCCUCAGCAGGAAUUUGAGGAAGGUCAUAGCUGGAGUCAGGCUUCUAUGCAAGGCCAUCAGGGCAGGAACUGGGUUCCAGUAUUAUCUUAAUCACUAUUUUAUAUCAUUCAAAGCAUCUAGGGCUGAGACUGCUGUCUUUCUGCUAAGAAUAGUCACAACAGUUUCUGAAAAUGUGACUUCUGUUCAUCAAAACUGGAUAAAAUAGUACGGUGCAGUCUCAUUUCAGAGCAGUUUGUCAGGUGCAGAAAAAAGGGUAACACCAUUAUGCUGGUUGACCUAUUCUGCUCUAGGCAAGUUAAAAUGGUGAUGAUGACGACUGCUAAUAGUGAUCAAAUGGCAGGAUGUGACUGAUAAUGAUGGUGAUAACUGCAUUUGUUAGCUCUUUAUGUUUCAGGCACUUUAUACCUAUUAUCUCAUCUGAUUCUCAUAACAGCCUAUGAAGUAUAUUUUAUACCUUUUUAUAUUUGAGGAGACUGAGGCUUAGAGAGAGGUUAACUCCCAUAGGUAGCAAAUAGGACCUGAUUCUUAACCACUGUGCCAUUCAUGUAAGACUAAUUCUCAAUAUGAAAAGAAUGAAGAUUUUUUUAAAUAUAUUUUUUAGUUGUUGAUGGACCUUUAUUUUAUUUAUUUAUAUGCAGUGCUGAGAAUUGAACCCAGUGCUUUACACGUGCUAGGCAAGUGCUCUACCACUGAGUUACAACCCCAGGCCAGAAUGGAGAUAUUUUUGAUAGUGUUGCUUAGCAUAUUGAAAAUGUGGCUAUGGUCUAAAUCCUUUAAUAGCUUUUUAUGAUGUUUUCAAGAGUAUAUGGGAGAUAGAUAGAAGAAAAACUGUAUUCACAAUAUCAUUUUAAUAGUAGGGAAAGACAUCUAUGCAUGGGAGGGAUUGAAAAUAGAUAAUAUGACGUAAAAUUAUGCUACUCCACCAACUCAGAAAUUUUCAGGCUGAGGGUCUCCAGGGGUCACUCUGACUGAUGUUCGAGAAUAAAAGGAGUCUUUGCUUAGACCUUAAACCAGCUCAAGCUCAUCUCAAUUAGACCAACAGGAUGGCUACCUAUGAAGCAGAGAACCAAGAAAUUGUCAUUAGCAUCAAGAACUAAUUGAAAGGCUGGUGGUGUAACUCAAUGGUAGAGCACUUGUCUGGCACGCAGGGGGGACAUGGUAUGAUCUCUAGCAGUGCAAAAACAAGGAAAAAAAAUCCAAAUACUCUAGGGAUGAUGGUGGAGCUCAAGACCCUAGGUUCAAUCCCCAAUGCUAAAAUAGAUUUUUUUAGUAUUAAUUUAAAAUUUGGUACCUAUGUAAUGGCCCAGUGAAGUAGCAAACUCAAGAGAUAGACAGGUAACACAAAUGUGAGGUGGGGCCAAGUCAAGCUACUCAAUUUUAUUUUAUAUUUACUUAUUGUAAACUCAAUUGUUUUUGAGAGAGAGAGAGAGAGAGAGAGAGAAUUUUUUAAUAUUUAUUUUUCAGUUUUCGGUGGACACAACAUCUUUAUUUUAUGUGGUGCUGAGGAUCGAACCCAGCGCCCCGCGCAUGCCAGGCGAGCGCGUUACCGCUUGAGCCACAUCCCCAACCCCUGUAAACUCAAUUUUUUUUUUAAAAAAAAUGCAUUUCUGGCAAAAAAAUUAAUAAUAAUAACCAACAAACAAAUUAACAAAAAUUAGCCAGACUCAGCCUUUCGGAUUCCGUAAGGAUGGCCUUAAAGGUCCUAGAACCCAGUCAACUCUGAGCCUUUGUCCUACCUUCCUAGGAUAUUAUCUGUGACUGGUGUCAUUUCUGUGGGCAAGCUUUCCUGGGUUUGAGGGCAGGUGAGGAAGCCUUCUGGCUCCCAGGGGAUUGUACCCUAGCUACAAAUUGAAGAAUUUAAAAAAUGCUGGGUUUGGCCCUCAUAUUGAGAGGUGAUAUUAUCCUCAUUCAUUGUGGUCUUCAAAAACUUCAUUAGUAAAAAAUAAUUUGAGUAUACUCCCCAUUCAGCAGUGAAGACACCGUUACCAUGCUGAGCCCACACAAACUUGAUUUCAUUUAUAUCUUCCUUUUCACAUAUGCACAAGACUCAUAAUGACAAAGAUCUCUGCUAUGUCUAAAGUCUAGGAAGUACCUUCUUUAUUUUUAUUUUCUUGUACUGGGGAUUAAACCCACUACCACUCUACCACUGAGCUACAUCCCCAGCCAUUUUUAUUUUUUUUAUUUUGAGACAGGGUCUCACUAAAUUGCUGAGACUGACCUUGAACUUGUGGUCCUCCUGCUUCAGCCUCCUGAGUUCCUGAGAUUACAGGUGUGCACCACCAUACCCAGCUGAGAAGGACCUUUCAAUAAGUAUAUAAUAAUACUCCCAGUUCACAGUAAUAAACCAUCCAUUGGUAGAAGAGUUUCCUUUUGGUGUGACAUAAAAUGAUGGAGAAUAGCAAAAUCAUUGAUUUUAUCAAUUUUAGUAAGCACCGUAAAUAUUAUUAAAUUAUAUUUUUAAUUUUUUCCAUAAAUCUAGAAUUGGAAAUUCUAAUAUUUUUCUUUAUAAACUCAUGAGUGACCUCAGGCCCUCUGGGGAGCACAUUCCAUGGUGUUCACAUCUCCAAUCUGGGGACCCCUAACUGAGCAGCUAUCUUAGUCUAACCCUCUUUACAGAUUCACAAAGCUGACUAAAGUCACAGCCAAGGGGGCCUGAAUUCUCCUGUUAGGGAAGCCUGCUCUCUUCUCCCAUGGACCUAAUACUGACUCCUUUCUCAUCAGAAGAGUUUCUGAUCAGGUGUAAGGACCUGUCAACAUCAGUCUCACCUGGACCCAGCUGGUAGGCUCCCUGUUUGGGGAAUCUGGCACUCUCAUCCACGGUGGAGUGAUACAGGGAGGUAGCACUCAGUCCUGGAGUGGGCCUGACCUUGGUCCCUGGAGCUAGAUCUGAGCAGAUCACACUGUGGCCCACUUUCGCACAGGUCUGGGGAGCCCCUGCUGCCACUGCUUGUCCAUAUCACUGGUUCACUAUUUGUGCCUGUCUGGGGCAAGCCACGCUGGCAUGUGCUAAGUAGCCCAGCCAGACACCCACCCCCAGUCUUGAUGUGAGAAUGAUGUGAUGGAAUUGGUAACUUGCCUGUGGGGUUGGCAGGUUCAUAUGGUCAUCACCACUGAGGAUUUUAACCAAGAUUCCUGCCCAGCCCCACCACCUCAGAAAUUCCCAUUCAGCUGCCCAGGGCUGGGGUCCCAGGCUCAGAGAACCAGAAAGGGGACUCCUAGGGUACAGAUGAGUGAGGACUGUUGUGGAGGGGGGCUGCAGAAGGAGGUGCUCAGGUAUGCUCCUGUGUCCUGGUGGUGAAGGGGGGUUGAUGAACAGGCAACAGGUGAACCUAAUGAUCAUGAUCAAUGAUUUUUCGACCCACUGUUAUUUUAUGUUUUACUCAAAAGGAAACUCUGAUACUGAUGGAUGAUUUACUAUGACCUUGUAUAUACAUUUAUCUGUGGGAAGCCACUCCUGAGCUAUUUAGGGUCUUCACUCAGCCUUGAGCCAAGGAGAUUUUGGUCUGGCAUUGUAUGCUAUUUUGUGGUCCCUCCCACUUAAGGGAUACACAAUACACGUGACUUCAGUCUUCAUUAGGCUAGGAAGACAGAUCUCCUAGCUCCAGAGUUGGGCGUGACCCACUGGGAACUGGACAGCCCACCUCCUACCUUAAUUGACUAAGAACAUCUGUGCAAAAGCUUUAAAGUUCCCCCAUAUAAAUAAAACAAAUUCAGGCUCUCACUUUCUCUUUCCAGCAUGGAAGCUCCACCCUUAAAGUCGAAGAGCUGUCCUGCCCCCACUCUUUAAAUCUAUUUUCUGUGGCCUGUGAUUUUUUUGCCAUAUUUCUCAGCCAGUCCACUCCACGAAGGGGAACCCACUUUCUGUCACCUGUGUGGGCCAUGGGCAAGAUUUAUUAAAAGGUCCAGAGAUUUUCAUCAUGUCUGUGAGUCUUGUUCAUGUCUGGAAGGGCAGAUGUAAAUAAAAUCAAAUUUGGGGCUGGGGAUGUGGCUCAAGGGGUAGCAUGCUCGCCUAGCAUGCAUGAGGCACUGGGUUCAAAUAUCAGCACCACAUAAAAAUAAAAUAAAGAUAUGUGUCCAUGGGCUAGGGAUGUGGCUCAAGCGGUAGCACGCUCGCCUGGCAUGCGUGCGGCCAGGGUUCGAUCCUCAGCACCCCAUACAAAGAUGUUGGGUCCACCGAAAACUAAUAAAUAAAUAUUUUAAAAAUUCGCUCUCUCUCUCUCUCUUAAAAAAAAAGAUAUGUGUCCACCUAAAACUAAAAAAAAUAAAUAUUAAAAUAAUAAUAAUAAUAAAAUAAAAUUUGUGCACACUCAACUGUGCUUCCACCACUAAAUGGGGAAUAUGCUCAAGUUGUUGUUGUUUAAUUUAUUUAUUCUAAUUUGUUAUAUAUGACAGCAGAAUGCAUUUCAAUUCAUAGUAUACAUAUAGAGCACAAUUUUUCAUGUCUCUGGUUGUAUGUUUGUUCUUUGACCAACAAAGUGAGAGAUUAAAAAAAGUUAAAAAAUUUUGUAGCCACCUUGGAUGUCUUAAUGUGAGGGAUAUACCCAGCAUUCCUGAAAUGUUCCAAUGAAUGAUUGUGACUUUAGGAAUUGCUGCAUCCUCCUAUUUAAUAAACUCUGUUCCUACUUACAAGCAAUAUUGUUAGAACUAAUCUGGGGAAAACUUGGACUAUCUUUGCAGCAGAUGGUUUGAAGGCUGUUUUAUUUUGUUGCAUUGUUUUAAGUCUGUUCUACUGGUCCCAAUUGUUAAAUGGCACACUUCCCCUAGCUGAGUUCUGGCAGGGCUGCCCCUGAACACUGUGCUCCAGUGAGAUCUCCUCUCAAGGAGGCAUUGAACACAGAUUCCUCACACACCCCCAUCCACCUCCCAAACUGCCAGCCCUGAAGCAGGGCCCAAGAGUCAGAUUCUGGUGAGGAGGGCAAGGCAGAAGAGUGCCUUUAGAAGAACAGGUACAAGCAUUUCUAUUUCAUUCCUUUAAACCAGGUGUAUAACAGUGUAUUCUCCCUGUUCUUUUUCAGAUUUGAAAGACUUUCUCCCCUCACAUGCCAAUGGGCCAAGCUCAUAUAGUUUACUGAGUUUUCUCCUCCUGCUGUCCUGUGCCGUCCUGCAGUGCCUUGUCUGUGAAGGAGACUCUAAGUGAACAGAAGCUCCCUCUUGGGACUUGGAAGACUAAACCUUGAUUAUGAUACAAGAGCCACUGUGUUCCCAGUAGGAAAGCCAGGACUUGGGCAUCCUCUUUAAUUUUCUCUUGUAAAUAAUAGAAUUGCUUACUCUUCUACAAAGUGAACCAUUAGGUGAAUAUUUGUACUAUGUAAUAAAUAUGAAAGAGCCU
RNAcentral lists this long non-coding RNA (7135 nucleotides) under Marmota monax (woodchuck). Lineage: Eukaryota; Metazoa; Chordata; Mammalia; Rodentia; Sciuridae. The record is from RNAcentral.